This 684-nucleotide long non-coding RNA is filed under the name Carica papaya (papaya). RNAcentral's name for it is "long non-coding RNA (CPAP_LNC000467)". The record is from RNAcentral. Lineage: Eukaryota; Viridiplantae; Streptophyta; Magnoliopsida; Brassicales; Caricaceae.
AGGACUUGCCGCGUGGCAAGACCACGUCGACCCGGGGACGGGCCACGUUGGCGAUCUGCGUGCGCGCGAUCGGACGGCCCAGAUGCGUCCCCGCGCGCACGAACGGCCCAGAUCAAGCGUGCGCACGGACGGCCCAGAUUCAAUCAAAAACGGACGGCUCAGAUUUAAUCAAAAUGGACGGCUGAGAUCAAAAGGCAAAAGGGUAUAAAUAGAACCCCCACACCUGACCACAAAAACCCUAGCGGCCUGCCCUCACCGGAGAAGACGAACCAGACGCCGAAGGAGCCGGCCGCCGCCACCCACCGCCGCACCAGGGAGAUUUCCGACCGCCGAUCGAGGUAAAUUUCAUACCCCCGACUCGUUUUUCCACGCUGAGUUCCCCUGUGGCCAAAUCGGAGCCAAAAUCCUGGCCAAAUCGGAGCCAAAAUCCCGGCCGAAAUCCAGCGGCGCCGCCGCGCCCCUCCUCGGUUUUUGCCUCCGAUGAGGCCCUUCCCGGCCUCCGUUUGAUGUAAUUUUUAUAUCACCGUGAUCACCAUUCUUUUCUCUACAGGUUGAUCGGAGCCGAAUCACCAAAACACGAACCUCGCCGGAGAGCCGCUGCACCCGAGAGCACCACCGCCGGUAAGCUUCAGUUUUCCGUAAUUUUUUGGCCCCCCAAGGGCCCUAGGGUUGUUUUAUCGCAGG